CUAUCUAUCUGCAUACAUCUUAACUUCCUAUCACAUUAAACACUCAAGGCGAAGCUCCUAUUUUAUACACCUUUCUUUAGUUUUCUAAACCAUCUAACAAAAGACUUGGUUGAUGUGGAGGCAUUUAUUUCUGCAGCAGGGUAACAUUUUUUUUUAAUUCGGAAAAGAUAUUCUUUUGCUAUUCUAUGGAAAGGACUUCUCAUUAGCAGCUGAGGGAGCCCCCGGAUGCCUGAGCCCGAGGGCCGGCUCUCCCACUCCGGUAGCCGGCGUGGAUGCGCUGUGACAUCAUGCUUUCUUUGUCCUCCUGGCUACGCCUGGCCUGGUGCUGUUCCAUCAGGCACUGUCCUGUACCAGGUAAGCAGGUUCGUGUUGAUCUCAGACAACUUUGGUCUCAGAUCCCAACACAGGAGCUUGCUUUCUUGUGACGUUCUGGGCGUGAGCUGCCCCUUCUACACGGGAGGACAACAGCGGGGUUGCGGCCUCACAGAGCAGCUAAUCUUCCCUUGUUUCAGGCCACUUCACCCUUCAGAGCUCGGCUCUGUCCUCACUUCCUCUGGGAACACAUGGAUGCCCGUCCUGGAGAGGUCAAGGCCUCCCUCAGGGCACAGGUGCCUUUCUUGUACCUCACCUCUCCCAUUGGCAUUGCAUAUUUAUGUCUGAACACGUGACCAGUUUCUGUUUCCCUCCCCAAAUGAGCUCCAUGCAGAGGAAGACCCCCUCCCCCCCUUUCUGCUUGCAGUUCUUGCCCUGGCUCCUGGAAUACCUGACCUGAAAAGGUGCUGACUGAGAAACCUGUUAACCGAAGGAAUGAAGAAGAGAAUCCCAGGAUUGUUGUAGUAACUGAACGCCACAGCUGGCACAGGUCUGAGAUCUUUGACACUGGACUUCACCUUGCCACAUACAUCAACAAAAGGCUUUUAUAUUCAGCUGUGUCUCAACUGCUAUGCGGCUGACGGUAACCGAGAAGAGCCAAUGAUUUCAAGAUGCAUUAUGACUUCAAAGUAAAAAAAAUUGUAUGCAAACAGCCCACGUGUAACAAUGGAGUGGAAUACUGUACUGGAGACAACUUGUACCAGUGGGUGAGCAUCUAAGUUAGCAUCUCUUCCCAGCCUGCAUUUAGUCAUGUCAACUUGGUAGUGUGAAAUUAAUAAUGGUGGGAGUCUUUUAUACCAUGGAAAUCAGCAAACUUUAGAAAUUAGCAAACUGUAUAAUUGCAAAUCCCUCUCAUCUCUCUGCAUCCCACUUCAGAGUCACUUGUUAAAUGUCUGACAGCACAUGACUGAAUGAAACCGCCAAAGCCCAAACCAGAUCACGCCUCUGCGGAUACCUCAGCAAAUUCUUCCCUGUCUCCGGCUGAUCAGGAGGGGUCCCUGAGGUCUGGGGCUUUCUUCUUAAAGGAGCAAUAUGCAUUAUGUGACUAAUAUUCACAGACGAGCUAUCAGUUAACUGGGAGUAGGGGAACAGAAGCGCACGACCAAGAGAGACCACACACUGUCAAGAAGUGUGCAGUGUACUUGGCAAAGGGGACUGAAGGGUACCUGGUUGAUGCAAAUGAAAGGAAUCAAAGUGGGGUUUGAUGGACAACUCUUCAAGGGAUCAGAAACAUUUUAAAAUCUAUGGAAAAGCUAGGUAGCCUCUGGAAAUGGAGGAGAAACUCAAAUGCCCUUAAAAAAAAUCUUAGUAAGAAGUCAGCUUGACUCUACUUAUUCUGUCUGCCAUCUCAAUGCAAUUUCAAAUGUUUUUAGUCAUUGUGUGAGACACACGUUGAUACUGAGGCUGUUCCUGAAAGUUUGGCUGCUACAGCCUUACCUUGUUUAGUUCUUUUAUUGUCACCUGCAGAUCCCCUACUUCUGUUUCCUACUGACAUCUGAGAUCAGUGAGAGCUUCCUAAGCUUUGCAUUUUUCCUACAAGAAAAACAGAAAUAUUUUGUUGAUUUAAAUAGAUUCAACCCUUAAACAGCCUUCAAUACUCCGCAGGUGAAAACAUUUUGCAUCAAAUGAAAGCUGACCUCAAUUCUCCUACCUGAAGGGAGGGAGGAAUAGGAAGGGAUGAUAGAUAGAAACCAAAUAACUUUAAACAUGCAGGAGUUCUGGAGUUGGAGCCUGCAAAAGUGAAAAGAACUGUAGAAUCCCCACAACCUGCAUCCAUACAUCACCCUGGAGUGAUAACUCUGAGACCAUACCUACAUUGUGAUAAAGGGUAAUAGCACACCAGUUAAGUAAUGAUUACUACUAUUAGUUAAAAGAUAUGGCCCACCUAAGAGCUCCAAUAUGUGCCUAAAUCGUCAUGUCAUUAGGACUCAGGAAGGUAUAGUUAGUGGACGUGCCCUUUUUCUGAGAGUGCAUGCUUUACCUGAAAUCAAAUCCUAUCAUUGCAAAUUUCUAUGUAAAUGUGUCCCCAUAAGCUGGUUUUUCUUCAAAAUGUCCCUUCUCAUUUUUCUCUUAUUAAACUGUAUAAUUGCAAAUGCCCUGUUCAGAAUUCAAACAUCUUUAUGUUUAUAACCAGUGAAAUCUCAUGUAUAAAUAUUCACUGACAUAUCAAGAAUGGCCCCAUGGACACGGGGACAUUGCAAAUUGAUAUUCUAGUGGGGGAAGACAGAAAACAGAGAUGACUUCAGGGAAUGAUACUAAGAAAAACCGGAGAGAUAGGGCAGAAAACGGUCUGAGGGGGGUGAAGGUGGGUACCUCCCCCAAGGUGCACGAUCCCACUUGUUGCAGGAGGGGCUCCUACUGCCCUCUCACUGGCUGUUGAGCCUGUGCAAGCUGCUUAUCUUCCUUGCAUGCCUCCAUUUACUUAAUGGGUUAUUAUGAGGAUCUAUUAAAUAAUCCAAUUAAAUACUCCUUGACAAUUACAUGCUCCAUAUACGUUCAAAAAAUCUGUGUGAAAUGCUUAGUAGAAGAGCAAUGGUUUCCCUACUGGUACCCUUUUCUAAAGUGGCUAUCUGGGGGUCAGCACCGUGGCUCACUUGGCUAAUCCUCUGCCUGCAGUGCCAGUAUCCCAUAUUGGUGCCGGGUUCUAGUCCUGGUUGCUCCUCUUCCAGUCCAGCUCUCUGCUGUGGCCCGGGAGGGCAGUGGAGGAUGGCCCAAGUGCUUGCGCACCUGCACCCACGUGGGAGACCAGGAGGAAGCACCUGGCUCUUGGCUUUGGAUUGGCCAUUUGGGGGGUGAACCAACGGAAGGAAGACCUUUCUCUCUGCCUCUAACUCUGCCUGUCAAAAAAAAUUAAAAUAAAGUAAAGUGGCUAUCUGGAGUUCAUCCAGCUUUGCAAGGGAGGCAGGUAACAAGCAUUGCCUACUCCCAUAGGUAUAGGAAGACAGUGAGGUGCUAACUUAGGCAGUUUUUCUAGCGUCAAAACAGACCUGGAUGCAAGUCUUUCCACCCAGAUGUAACUACUUUUACCGUUUAAAAAUACUUUAUUAAAAAAUGAAUAAAGGAAAUGAACAUUCUGUAGCUUAUUCCAGUUCCAAUCUGUACAAGUAGAUGUGGGGGUGAGAUAAGAGGUUAUUGCAGCAAUGAGGUGAGAAAUGGUGGUGGCUGGGAGAAACUCUUCACAGAUUUGAGCACACUGCUCUGGAGGGAAUAUUUUACAAUUCCUGCAAUGAGACCAGAACUUGUCUGAUACCAAAAUCAGACAAAGACAUUAAAACUACAAGCCAUUACCUCAUGUGAGUUCAGAUGUAAAUAUGAUAAAUAAAAUUCAGCAAACUAAAUUCAAGAAUGUAUAUAAAGGAUAAUUCAUCAUGGCCAACUGGGGCCUAUCUCAAGAGCACAAGUUUGUUUUUACACCCAACAAUUAGUCAAUGCAAUUCAGCCAACAUAAUUCAAAACAAACUCUAAAAACAGAAAAGAAACCUGGUCACUUUAGUAGACACAGCAAAAGCACCUGACAAAACCCAAGACUUAUUCCUGAUUAAAACAACAACUGCAAUGACUCUCAGUGAACUAGGCACACAAAUAUAUAUAUUAAUAUAGGGGAUUUAU
Non-coding RNA from Oryctolagus cuniculus (rabbit), 3981 nucleotides. NCBI's taxonomy places the organism in Eukaryota, Metazoa, Chordata, Mammalia, Lagomorpha, Leporidae. The record is from RefSeq and is a predicted model, not a curated record.